This 244-nucleotide long non-coding RNA is filed under the name Mytilus galloprovincialis (Mediterranean mussel). The record is from RNAcentral. Lineage: Eukaryota; Metazoa; Mollusca; Bivalvia; Mytilida; Mytilidae.
ACUAGUCAUUACAUUAACUAAAUUUCAUCAUUGAUACAAAGACAUAAUUCAUAAAUAAAUCAACAUGUAGACAUCUUAUAUGUCAGGUUCAGGACAAUUAGGUAUUUGAUAACCAACCUUUUAUGGUAAUAUACUAUACAAAACACAAAAAUGUUGUCAUUCCUCAAAGCUAACAAAACCUAGUUAUUCAGAAGGGAAAUCAACAUAUAGAUAUAAUCCCAUAAUCCUGUCCGCCAAAUUCCAC